This 354-nucleotide ribosomal RNA is filed under the name uncultured bacterium. RNAcentral's name for it is "bacterial SSU rRNA". It matches the Rfam family "Bacterial small subunit ribosomal RNA", at positions 8 to 350 of the family's 1533-position model. The record is from RNAcentral.
AGAGUUUGAUCAUGGCUCAGGAUGGACGCUAGCUACAGGCUUAACACAUGCAAGUCGAGGGGAAACGACAUCGAAAGCUUGCUUUUGAUGGGCGUCGACCGGCGCACGGGUGAGUAACGCGUAUCCAACCUGCCCACCACUUGGGGAUAACCUUGCGAAAGUAAGACUAAUACCCAAUGACGUCUCUAGAAGACAUCUGAAAGAGAUUAAAGAUUUAUCGGUGAUGGAUGGGGAUGCGUCUGAUUAGCUUGGUUGGCGGGGUAACGGCCCGACCAAGGCUACGAUCAGUAGGGGUUCUGAGAGGAAGGUCCCCACAUUGGAACUGAGACACGGUCCAAACUCCUACGGGAGGCA